GGUGUGUUGGCUUAAUUGGUAAAGCAUAGUAGUACGGUUACUAAGAUUUUGAGUUCGAGUCUCUUACACAUCA
Sporothrix brasiliensis 5110 is the source of this 73-nucleotide non-coding RNA. The record is from the annotation of a RefSeq genome assembly. NCBI's taxonomy places the organism in Eukaryota, Fungi, Ascomycota, Sordariomycetes, Ophiostomatales, Ophiostomataceae.